RNAcentral lists this ribosomal RNA (424 nucleotides) under uncultured bacterium. RNAcentral's name for it is "partial 16S ribosomal RNA". It matches the Rfam family "Bacterial small subunit ribosomal RNA", at positions 354 to 795 of the family's 1533-position model. The record is from RNAcentral.
GUGGGGAAUUUUGGACAAUGGGCGAAAGCCUGAUCCAGCAAUGCCGCGUGAGUGAAGAAGGCCUUCGGGUUGUAAAGCUCUUUUACCCGGGAAGAUAAUGACUGUACCGGGAGAAUAAGCUCCGGCUAACUCCGUGCCAGCAGCCGCGGUAAUACGGAGGGAGCUAGCGUUGUUCGGAAUUACUGGGCGUAAAGCGCGCGUAGGCGGUUUUUUAAGUCAGAGGUGAAAGCCCGGGGCUCAACCCCGGAAUUGCCUUUGAAACUGGAAAACUUGAAUCUUGGAGAGGUCAGUGGAAUUCCGAGUGUAGAGGUGAAAUUCGUAGAUAUUCGGAAGAACACCAGUGGCGAAGGCGACUGACUGGACAAGUAUUGACGCUGAGGUGCGAAAGCGUGGGGAGCAAACAGGAUUAGAAACCCCGGUAGUC